RNAcentral lists this long non-coding RNA (832 nucleotides) under Eucalyptus grandis. RNAcentral describes it as "long non-coding RNA (EGRA_LNC005219)". Lineage: Eukaryota; Viridiplantae; Streptophyta; Magnoliopsida; Myrtales; Myrtaceae. The record is from RNAcentral.
CUACAUCAGCAGUUGACGGGAUAGUAAUGAUAGUGUUGAAUACUUUCCCCUAAAAGCACUAUUUCGCAUUUUCACACAAAACCCCAUAAGCAAAAAUACGAAAUUGCCCUCCUUUCAGAAGACAUCAACAACAAACUUUAAGCCUCCAAAACUUCAUGUUCUGUCUGUCUCAAUCUCCGAGUUGGCAGCCAAUCCCCAUGAACAAAGAAGAGUAGAGAGCAAUCGCGGUCGUGCUCGUGCCACCUUCUCCCUUCUCCAGUGAUACCUUCAAACCCCCCACCCCACUCUACGUGCGCGCGCGCGUGGAGCCUCCCCUCAAGGCUCCUUGCGUCGAAUCUAAGGUCGCCGGGAGUUCACGCGAGGUUGGCCGCCACUUGUGGCGGCGACGAUCUUCAUGAGCCCCUUCGUCUUCCUUCAAAGAGAGAGAGAGAGAGAGCGGGGCGCAAUGGCAAUGGGCUGGCCUACAGGCAACGACGACGAAGACCUGGUCACAGAUGCAGGUGAGGACACAACGGAGCAAAGGCCGACGAAAGAAAAAAGCGACGGUAUGUAAUUUGAGUGCAACCUUUAGAGGAUCUCAACCUCAUAAUCUAUAAAGAUUUCAGGGGCCUCAUGAAAAGCCGUGCCGGGGAAUCCUCACGUCCAAGCUGCGCGAUGCAUUUGCUUCUUCAAUUAUUGCUUCCUUUAUUUUCUUUUUUAAGGUGCACAUUACAGUGAAGGGGAAUCUCUCCCGCUGCUGGUCCAUCCAUAUUCUUAUCCCGCAUGGCGAGCGUGGCGAUGAUGCAAAACAUCUGUCAGAGGAUACGACACGACAUCUGAAUCAAAUGCCGAC